CCUACGGGGGGCUGCAGUGGGGAAUAUUGGACAAUGGGCGAAAGCCUGAUCCAGCCAUGCCGCGUGUGUGAAGAAGGCCUUCGGGUUGUAAAGCACUUUCAGUGGGGAAGAAAGCCUUGGGGCUAAUACCCUCGAGGAAGGACAUCACCCACAGAAGAAGCACCGGCUAACUCCGUGCCAGCAGCCGCGGUAAUACGGAGGGUGCGAGCGUUAAUCGGAAUUACUGGGCGUAAAGCGCGCGUAGGCGGUCUGAUAAGCCGGUUGUGAAAGCCCCGGGCUCAACCUGGGAACGGCAUCCGGAACUGUCAGGGUAGAGGGCAGGAGAGGAAGGUAAAAUUCCCGGUGUAGCGGUGAAAUGCGAAGAGAUCGGGAGGAAUACCAGUGGCGAAGGCGGCCUUCUGGACUGACACUGACGCUGAGGUGCGAAAGCGUGGGUAGCAAACAGGAUUAGAUACCCUAGUAGUC
Molecule: ribosomal RNA, 465 nt
Filed under: Vreelandella stevensii
Lineage: Bacteria; Pseudomonadati; Pseudomonadota; Gammaproteobacteria; Oceanospirillales; Halomonadaceae
Description: partial 16S ribosomal RNA
Rfam family: Bacterial small subunit ribosomal RNA
Source: RNAcentral